RNAcentral lists this ribosomal RNA (468 nucleotides) under uncultured soil bacterium. RNAcentral describes it as "bacterial SSU rRNA". It matches the Rfam family "Bacterial small subunit ribosomal RNA", at positions 26 to 517 of the family's 1533-position model. The record is from RNAcentral.
AGAUUGAACGCUGGCGGCAUGCCUAAUACAUGCAAGUCGAACGAACUCUUCGGAGUUAGUGGCGCACGGGUGCGUAACGCGUGGGAAUCUGCCCCUUGGUUCGGAAUAACAGUUGGAAACGACUGCUAAUACCGGAUAUGACCUGCUCUCGCAUGGGGGGUGGGUGGAAAGAUUUAUCGGUGCAGGAUGGGCCCGCGGCCUAUCAGCUUGUUGGUGGGUAAUGGCCUACCAAGGCGACGACGGGUAGCCGACCUGAGAGGGUGACCGGCACACUGGGACUGAGACACGGCCCAGACUCCUACGGGAGGCAGCAGUGGGGAAUAUUGCACAAUGGGCAAAGCCUGAUGCAGCGACGCGCGUGAGGAUGAAGGCCGUUCGGGUUGUAACCUCUUUCAGCGAGGACGAAGCGCGAAGUGACGUACCGUGACAGAAGAAGCGAACCCGGACUAACUACGUGCCAGCACGCCG